RNAcentral lists this ribosomal RNA (458 nucleotides) under uncultured bacterium. RNAcentral's name for it is "partial 16S ribosomal RNA". It matches the Rfam family "Bacterial small subunit ribosomal RNA", at positions 29 to 507 of the family's 1533-position model. The record is from RNAcentral.
AACGAACGCUGGCGGCAUGCCUAACACAUGCAAGUCGAACGAGACCUUCGGGUCUAGUGGCGCACGGGUGCGUAACGCGUGGGAACCUGCCCUUAGGUUCGGAAUAACUCCCCGAAAGGGGUGCUAAUACCGGAUAAUGUCUUCGGACCAAAGAUUUAUCGCCUUUGGAUGGGCCCGCGUUGGAUUAGCUAGUUGGUAGGGUAAAAGCCUACCAUGGCGACGAUCCAUAGCUGGUCUGAGAGGAUGAUCAGCCACACUGGGAAUGAGACACGGCCCAGACUGCGGAGGGAGGCAGAAGAAGGGAAUCGUACGCAAUGGACGCAAGGCUGACGGAGGGACGGCGCGUGUGUGAAGAAGGUCUUCGGAUCGUGAAGAACUGUUAUCAGAGAAGAAGAGACUGUAGAGUAACUGUUAUAGGUUUGACGGUAACUGCUCAGAAAGCAACGGCUAACUACGUG